AUUGAACGCUGGCGGCAUGCCUUACACAUGCAAGUCGAACGGCAGCACGGGUGCUUGCACCUGGUGGCGAGUGGCGAACGGGUGAGUAAUACAUCGGAACAUGUCCUGUAGUGGGGGAUAGCCCGGCGAAAGCCGGAUUAAUACCGCAUACGAUCUACGGAUGAAGGCGGGGGACCUUCGGGCCUCGCGCUAUAGGGUUGGCCGAUGGCUGAUUAGCUAGUUGGUGGGGUAAAGGCCUACCAAGGCGACGAUCAGUAGCUGGUCUGAGAGGACGACCAGCCACACUGGGACUGAGACACGGCCCAGACUCCUACGGGAGGCAGCAGUGGGGAAUUUUGGACAAAGGGCGAAAGCCUGAUCCAGCAAUGCCGCGUGUGUGAAGAAGGCCUUCGGGUUGUAAAGCACUUUUGUCCGGAAAGAAAUCCUUGGCCCUAAUACGGUCGGGGGAUGACGGUACCGGAAGAAUAAGCACCGGCUAACUACGUG
Molecule: ribosomal RNA, 486 nt
Filed under: uncultured bacterium
Lineage: Bacteria
Description: partial 16S ribosomal RNA
Rfam family: Bacterial small subunit ribosomal RNA
Source: RNAcentral